RNAcentral lists this ribosomal RNA (253 nucleotides) under uncultured bacterium. RNAcentral describes it as "partial 16S ribosomal RNA". It matches the Rfam family "Bacterial small subunit ribosomal RNA", at positions 524 to 776 of the family's 1533-position model. The record is from RNAcentral.
GACGGAGGGAGCAAGCGUUGUCCGGAUUUACUGGGCGUAAAGCGCGCGUAGGCGGCCUUUUAAGUCGGCGGUGAAAGCGCUGGGCUCAACUCAGCAAUUGCCGUCGAUACUGAUCGGCUCGAGUCCGGGAGAGGAAAGCGGAAUUCCUGGUGUAGCGGUGGAAUGCGUAGAUAUCAGGAAGAACACCGGUGGCGAAGGCGGCUUUCUGGACCGGCACUGACGCUGAGGCGCGAAAGCUAGGGGAGCGAACGGG